GGGGGUGUAGCUCAGUGGUAGAGCGCGUGCUUAGCAUGCACGAGGCCCUGGGUUCAAUUCCCAGCACCUCCA
RNAcentral lists this transfer RNA (72 nucleotides) under Choloepus hoffmanni (Hoffmann's two-fingered sloth). Its description in RNAcentral is "tRNA-Ala (AGC) (tRNA-Ala-AGC-2-1)". It matches the Rfam family "tRNA". Rfam says of the family: Transfer RNA (tRNA) molecules are approximately 80 nucleotides in length. Their secondary structure includes four short double-helical elements and three loops (D, anti-codon, and T loops). Further hydrogen bonds mediate the characteristic L-shaped molecular structure. tRNAs have two regions of fundamental functional importance: the anti-codon, which is responsible for specific mRNA codon recognition, and the 3' end, to which the tRNAs corresponding amino acid is attached (by aminoacyl-tRNA synthetases). tRNAs cope with the degeneracy of the genetic code in two manners: having more than one tRNA (with a specific anti-codon) for a particular amino acid; and 'wobble' base-pairing, i.e. permitting non-standard base-pairing at the 3rd anti-codon position. Lineage: Eukaryota; Metazoa; Chordata; Mammalia; Pilosa; Megalonychidae. The record is from RNAcentral.